This is a long non-coding RNA of Cyprinus carpio (common carp), 1262 nucleotides long. NCBI's taxonomy places the organism in Eukaryota, Metazoa, Chordata, Actinopteri, Cypriniformes, Cyprinidae. The record is from Ensembl.
AAAAAAUAUUCACUAAGAACAAAUAAUAAAUUAUUAGGAUUUUUGGACAUGCUUUGUUAACAUUAUGGUAACAUGGAAGGAAAAAAGAUUUAGUAGGAUGGUAGGAAAAUGAGAAUUAUAACUUGGUUUUCCACUGGAAAGCUUCCAUGGAUGUUAAAGGUUCUUGUGGAGCUGUAGCUGCUGCUAGAGAAGUGUAUUGUGCUGGAGGACAGCAGGUGGCAGCAGUGAAGCGCUGGUGUCUGUCCUCAUCCACCCACCGCCUCUGAUGGAUGUCAGGCACUGCACAAACAUUCAUGAUGGAAAAUGAUUCGGGUUUCCUGAUGUAUAAACGCUGCGGCUCCAUCAGAGACGCUUCUGAGGCAGAAGCUCUUUCUGGUGCGGUGGGCUCCUCCGUUCCUUCGUCCUUUGAGACGUGAGGUUGGUCUGAAGUGUUUUUGUGAUGUUAUUGUAUCUGCUCGCUCCAUGACUCCAGUCGGCUGUAAUUACAGGCCUGCAGGUCCAGCGGCUUGAGCUCUAAACCGGGCCGCUCUCUGAUGUCUGAUGGAGGAAAAUGAUUUCCACUCUGCUCUGUAUGAUUCAAACGCACUGGAGCAAACCACAAUCAUACGUAAUGACACAUAAAUCAUACUCGAGGAGGAAAAACAAGCACAGAGAGGAAAAAGCGUAGGCCAGUGCAUGUUGUGUGAACACACCAUCUGCAGGCUUUAAAGUGCAGAUCUUUGAACAUUGCUGCCUGGAAGAGAGAUCUUUGUGUAGCGGAUCUCAGAUCUUAGGCUGAUGUUGGCAGAGCACCAGCUCUCAGUGUGUGUGUGUGUGUGUGUGUGUGUGUGUGUGUGUGUGUUUGUGUGUUUGUGUGUGUUUGUGUGAGUGUCUUCAGAUCAUGCAGGGGUUUCUGUCUCCUCAUAUCUCCUGCAUCGUUUGGCAGAAGAACAGCUCGUCCUCCAAAGGUGAGCGAGGCUGUGGGAACAAUGGCUCUGGAAGGAAAAACAGGGAGGAUCCGGAUAUCCCAUCCCAUUAACUACACCCUCUUCCUGAAGAGCUUUCCAGCAGCAUCCAGGAAGAGGAUGAGGAGGUCCCUCACGCCUGAUGCUCUGGUUAUUUAUGAGCUAUAUUCAUCCUUGAACGAGUUCAAUCUCUUCACACGUUCCAUCUGCGUGCAUCAAUUCUCCAGCCGCUGAAACAAAGCUUGUUUGUUUAACGAGGAGAGGUGAAUAUAUUUACACACUUAAGCAUUUGAGCCGCUCAUGCAGCUCUCAAAUCAU